GCUGGCAGGCAGUUGUUACAAAAGCCUGCAGCCCACAAAUACACUUAACACUGUUGGGAAACAGGCCAGAGCGGAAAGAAAGAACAAAAACAAUACCAACAAACCAAUUCACCUCUAAUGGAGAACUGAAGUGGGAUGCUGUGGUGACUGGAGAUGAACCAGGAGCCAGGACACAGGACACGAACACGGAGACACGUGGCCCGGCAUAACGGUGUCUGGGCUGUUCCAGGCCUAAAUAGAGUCAGGUCACAGGGCAGGGUCACAGGAAGCUCCCAGUCUUAGGCACUGGACUGACAGAUUCAGUAACCUAUAGGCCAAGUGCCCACACCUGUCUCCAGGGAUUCAG
Molecule: long non-coding RNA, 346 nt
Organism: Perognathus longimembris pacificus (Pacific pocket mouse)
Lineage: Eukaryota; Metazoa; Chordata; Mammalia; Rodentia; Heteromyidae
Exons: 3
Source: RefSeq, a predicted model, not a curated record